GACGAACGCUGGCGGGCGUGCUUUAACACAUGCAAGUCGAACGGGUGACGAGGAGCUUGCUCCCUCUGAUCAGUGGCGAACGGGUGAGUAAACACGUGAGCAACCUGCCCCAGACUCUGGGAUAACAGUUGGAAACAGCUGCUAAUACCGGAUACGAGACGGAGAGGCAUCUCUACCGUCUGGAAAGUUUUUCGGUCUGGGAUGGACUCGCGGCCUAUCAGCUAGUUGGUGAGGUAAUGGCUCACCAAGGCGACGACGGGUAGCCGGCCUGAGAGGGCGACCGGCCACACUGGGACUGAGACACGGCCCAGACUCCUACGGGAGGCAGCAGUGGGGAAUAUUGCACAAUGGGCGAAAGCCUGAUGCAGCGGCGCCGCGUGAGGGAUGACGGCCUUCGGGUUGUAAACCUCUUUCAGCAGGGAAGAAGCGAAAGUGACGGUACCUGCAGAAGAAGCACCGGCUAACUACGUG
RNAcentral lists this ribosomal RNA (471 nucleotides) under uncultured bacterium. RNAcentral's name for it is "bacterial SSU rRNA". It matches the Rfam family "Bacterial small subunit ribosomal RNA", at positions 28 to 507 of the family's 1533-position model. The record is from RNAcentral.